Molecule: long non-coding RNA, 277 nt
Filed under: Pan troglodytes (chimpanzee)
Lineage: Eukaryota; Metazoa; Chordata; Mammalia; Primates; Hominidae
Description: long non-coding RNA NONPTRT006019
Source: RNAcentral
GCAGGAUGAUCAAGCUGUUCUCGCUGAAGCAGCAGAAGAAGGAGGAGUAGUCGGCGGGCGGCACCAAGCGCAGCAGCAAGAAGGCGUCGGCGGCGCAGCUGCGGAUCCAGAAGGACAUAAACGAGCUGAACCUGCCCAAGACGUGUGAUAUCAGCUUCUCAGAUCCAGACGACCUCCUCAACUUCAAGCUGGUCAUCUGUCCUGAUGAGGGCUUCUACAAGAGUGGGAAGUUUGUGUUCAGUUUUAAGAGAGAACUGGAAGCCAGUCCUUACGAUAA